Long non-coding RNA from Cyprinodon tularosa, 1262 nucleotides. RefSeq lists it as uncharacterized. Lineage: Eukaryota; Metazoa; Chordata; Actinopteri; Cyprinodontiformes; Cyprinodontidae. The transcript has 2 exons. The record is from RefSeq and is a predicted model, not a curated record.
AGGCUUUGUUUUGGUUCGCUCUAUAAAACCUGGAACUAAACAUUUUUUCUGACAUUUGGAAUUGAAAAAUCUUCCUGGAUGGAAGAGAAACGUCUUCAAACUUGGAAACAAAGUCCAAUGCAUAGAUUGAUGAUUUCGAUUAAUCAGGAAUCACAGUUUCUCUUUUCUAAAACAAACUAAUUGUAUCGUCCAAGAUGACGGGACGCCCCGCCUGCAGUCUGUAUGGGACCAGCUUCCACUGCUGGUCUAAGAACGGUCCCACAGCAGUGUGACCAUCAAGAGGAGAAGCUGCUUCUCUCUAAAUUUACCAAGUUGGUUAAAAUAGUUUGAUUUCUAAUUUUCCUUGAGAAUCAAAUUUUUUUUUUAUUUGAAUUAAAACAGAGUUUCCUUCAGUAUAAAGUUAAUUUCUAAAACGGUUUAGAUGGAAACUUAAAUCAGUUAUUUAUCCAUUUGUUUCUAAGCACUUUGUUCUUUUAAUUGAUUUUAAUCAAAAAUAAAAACGUUAAUCAGUGGAAAAACCUUCAGCAUCAAAUCAGUCACACCCUUCUUAUUCCUGCUGAUUAAUUUAACACAUUUCCACUGAUCUGCUUACAUUAUUUUAUUCCUAUUUUGAUAUUUUUCCUAAAUGCUAGUAAAGUUUAAAAAAAUCCAUUGGUCUGCAUCUUUACAGCAGUCCCCCCCCCCCCUUUUUUUUAUUUUAUUUUGGUUAUAUGUAAACAAACAUGUAAAAUCUAAUCUAAAGCUGCACAGUGGAUGAAUGUGAUUUAAAAGGAUGUUUUGCUCUGAUUGGACAAUAAUUCAAAGCAGGACUGUUAAUAACAGCAGCAGCGUCUCCAAACAUCAGAGACUUUUUAUCUCCGGGUGGAAAUGGGAUCACUGAUGGACAUCUGGGUGUAAAUAUUUAUCAUGUUCCAACCUUAUUCAGACAAAAUUAUGAAAAAAAAAAUGUCUUUAUGGUUUAAACUUGGAUCAUUAACCUUCAUCUUGCUUUGAUUGCAGUUUUAUCUUUUUUUUUGGGCUACUUUCUCCUUCCUGGGACUCUGCUUUACAGACGAUCUCUGCUUUUGUGUCUUAGAUGAGUUCAAUGUUUUAAAGCUUUAGAUGGAUAAAUAUAUUCUGCCACUUCGGCCUUUCUGCACAUUCUUUUCGUCGUUUUCUGGCCGUGCUUCGAGUUUCUUCGUGCUCUUUGAAAUAGAAAAUGAAGCUUUGUGUCACCGCUCACGAUGAUGAGAUUACAGCGCAAUAAAUGUGUGGAGAUAUUG